UUAACUAUUAAAAUAUAGUACUCAGACGACACUAACAUUCAGAGUUUAGGGGUCCUCUGGCGGGCACGCUAGACGCGAAUCUAGGCGCACGAGGCGCGGCCCGCCAAAGCAACAUUCUAUAAUGAUACACAAGGGUGGGAGAUCUACCCCGAAGGGCAUGAACUCUGUAAUGAUCCUUCCGCAGGUUCACCUACGGAAA
This 199-nucleotide unclassified non-coding RNA is filed under the name uncultured fungus. RNAcentral's name for it is "sequence contains ITS1". The record is from RNAcentral. Lineage: Eukaryota; Fungi.